AGCUCCAAUAGCGUAUAUUAAAGUUGUUGCAGUUAAAAAGCUCGUAGUUGAAUUUCUGAUAGAAGGGAGCGGUUCCGCAUUCUUGCGGAUACUGGCUCGUCUUCCGUCAUCCUUGGGCUUAGUCUCGCUGAUAUUAACUUAUCGGCGUGGACGCAUGCCCAUCGUUUACUGUGAGCAAAUUAGAGUGUUCAAAGCAGGCAUUUUGCCAUUGAAUAUAUUAGCAUGGAAUAAUAAGAUAGGAUUUCACGAUUUUAUUUUGUUGGUUUGCGUUGUGAAAUAAUGAUUAAGAGGGACAGUUGUGGGUAUUCGUAUUCAGAUGUCAGAGGUGAAAUUCUUAGAUUAUCGGAAGACGAACGACUGCGAAAGCAUUUACCAAGGAUGUUUUCA
RNAcentral lists this ribosomal RNA (387 nucleotides) under uncultured marine Chaetocerotaceae. RNAcentral's name for it is "SSU rRNA". It matches the Rfam family "Eukaryotic small subunit ribosomal RNA", at positions 587 to 972 of the family's 1831-position model. Lineage: Eukaryota; Bacillariophyta; Thalassiosirophyceae; Chaetocerotales; Chaetocerotaceae. The record is from RNAcentral.